RNAcentral lists this long non-coding RNA (1093 nucleotides) under Sander lucioperca (pikeperch). RNAcentral describes it as "lncRNA (ENSSLUG00000009110.1)". Lineage: Eukaryota; Metazoa; Chordata; Actinopteri; Perciformes; Percidae. The record is from RNAcentral.
AUGAAAACAUCCCAAUAUGAAUAUUUUAAUACUUUAAUUGUCCUGUAUAAUCUUCUGUUAUGCUGUGUUUACAGGUGCGGCUCAAGAACCAUCCGUCAAUCACUUAAGGCAACAAAGGACUGGUCGCUGCUGCAGUGUAAAGUUCAUGGCAAUCCAGAACCUGAAGUAGAGUGGCAGGACAGUGCUGGAAACAUUCUUAAUGCUGAGGAGCCACAGGUCGAAAAAAUAGGAGACCUUUUCUACAUCACUCUCAACACUACUGUGACCAAGACCGACCUCUAUCGCUGUGUAGCAACACAGGAGACAAUCAGUCAUCAGGUUUCUGCUGAGACUGAUGUGCAUAUAAGUGGUACUCUACAGCUAUCUGUCAAGAUUGUUAGUCAAACUAACGACAGGGCUCUGCUGCAGUGUGAGGUUCGAGGUGCUUCUGCAGACCUUAGAGUGGAAUGGCAGGACAGUGCUGGAAACCAACUUGCUGCCAAAGAGCCCCAGCUGUCAGAAAGAGGAGGAGGCGACGACGUCACCCUCCAAACUACUGUGACCAAGACCGGUCACUACCACUGUGUAGCCUCACAGAAGAAAAGCAACCAUACCAUUUCUGAGGAUACUUUUGUGCAUAUCAGUGGUGAGGUUUUUAUAUUCAAGAUAUAAUUAUUGUUUGUGUGUUAUACAUUUUUUUUAAGUUUUGAUAAAGAUAUCUGCAGUAGUUGAACAUGUUUCAAACUGAGUGAAACCUUCACUGAGGUUCUGAAUGAGAGGAUCUGGAGGGAAAUAACAGAACUGGAGUUUGGAAUCCUUUUUUAGUUGAGUAUGAACGGUUACUAAAACACACCCAGCUGUUGUGUCCAGUCCUAGCUCGCUGUAGCUAACGUCUGGGUUGUCAGUGUUGUUGUGCUGUAUUCACACAAACUGCAAGAACACAAACCGUCAAGCAAUAUUUUGGAAAGGGGGGCGUUGAGGUGCCCUUGGGGGGCGUUUGUUUGAAAGCUAGUUUAAACCAAAGAUUCCCAAUAACAAUACAUGUUUACUCUUUAAACUACUGAACCAGUGGUCAGCUCCAUUAAAAGCUGCCAGUUGACGUCACUGUGACUGG